This is an RNA transcript of Panicum virgatum (switchgrass), 1715 nucleotides long. RefSeq lists it as uncharacterized. The transcript is spliced from 2 exons. NCBI's taxonomy places the organism in Eukaryota, Viridiplantae, Streptophyta, Magnoliopsida, Poales, Poaceae. The record is from RefSeq and is a predicted model, not a curated record.
GGAAGCCCGUCUCGUCGUCGUCGUCUCUCUCUCCCCAUCAUCCUCUGUCCUUUUCCUGGUGCCUCCCCUCCCCUCCUGGCCUCCUCGCAACUUGCGAUUCCCAAAUCCCGAUGCGUCCUCGCGGCUAGCGAUCCCGCGUCCGCCUCGCCGGCCCCUCCACCCCCGCCCGCCGCCGCCGCCGCCUCCUCCCAUGACGUCGCCGUCCUCGCACCAUCCGGACUCCUCCUCGGCGUCCUCCACCCCGCGCGCCGGUGCCGGCAACACCCACCUCCACCCGCCGCCUCUCCCGCCGGCCCCCGCGCCCACCCCCGCCGCUCCUCCCGCGCAGGCGCACGGGGGGCCGCAGGUGCGCCUCAUGUGCAGCUUCGGCGGCCGCAUCCUGCCGCGCCCGGGGGACCUCCAGCUGCGCUACGUCGGCGGGGAGACCCGCAUCGUCUCCUUCCCGCGGGCCGCGGCCUCCUUCGCCACCCUCGUCUCCGCGCUCGCCAAGGUCGCCCCGGCCCUCUUCGCCCCGGGGGUGCCCCGCCCGUCGCUCAAGUACCAGGUGCCCCACGACGACCUCGACUCGCUCAUCUCCGUCAGCUCCGACGACGACGUCGACCACCUCAUGGACGAGCUCGACCGCCUCCACGACGAGGCCGCCGCCGCCGCCAGGCCGCUCCGCCUCCGCGUCUUCCUCUUCGCGCCCGCGCCCGAUGCCGCCUUCGGCUCCAUCCUCUCGGGCACCGCCGGCGAUGCCGUCUCCACCGACCAGUGGUUCGUCGACGCGCUCAACGCCCCCGCGCCGCACCCCAUCGAGCGCGGCCGAUCCGAGGCGUCGUCGAUCAUCUCCGAGGUCCCCGACUACCUCUUCGGCCUCGACACCGCGUCCGACGAACCCAGCCCCGGCCCCGCGGUCUCCCGCAACAAGUCCGAUGCCGCCGAGACUCCACGCCAACACGGCGACGAAGACGAAGCAUCGGUUCCCGCGCGCCAGGUGCCGUACGUCGCGGAGGGAGCAUCGUCAUGGCCCGCCCCGCCUCCGCCGUACAUGGCGCAGCCCGUGUACUACUCCCCCCUCCCGCCGCCGGUCCACUACCUUGAUCCGUCUGCGCAGGGCGGCUACAUGCCUCGCCCUGUCUACCACAUGGUCGGUGGCGGAGGAAGCGAGGUACCCGGCGGAGAUCUCCACGCGGCCGGCGGCGUCUACGGCGUCCCGCACCCCAUGCAGGCGUUCCCGCCGAUGAUGUACGCGCCGCCGCGCGCGGUCGUCUACACGGCGGAGGGGCAGCCGUUGCCGCCUCCUGAAGGUGGGGCCCCCUCUUCCUAGGCGACUAAGCUGCUCAUGGAGUGGAGAGCCGCUUCUCAUUUCUGGAUCCUGAUGAUUGCAGAUGCCUAGGCUUAGGAAUUUUUGCAUUGCUGCGCGCGUGGUCAAUUUAUUGUUCGUCAGGUUCUUGUUGGUUGGUGUAUAGUUGAGGGAGGUGGACGAUGGAUGGAUAUUGCAAUUUUCGUCGAGUGGACAUAUAUAUUCUUAAAAUAUAGUUAUAUAUAGUGUAGUAUUCUGUGUGAUUAGUACCCAAGCUAAUGUAAUGUGGAUUCAUAUAUUCUGGUUCUGGAUGACAAAUUUUGGGCAUUUUAUCUCAUAAAACUGGAGGUUGGGUGAAUGUUCUCAGCAAUAUUGUCCUGUAAAAUGUUCACUUAUGAGAUUCAGAUGUUACAUGUGGAACCUUAAUUUC